GUAUCACAUCUCUCCUCUCAAAGAGACAAUUGAAGCACAUAGGAGAUCUCUUGGGGAACAUGGUCCAGCUCAACAUUUGCAAAGGCCACCUCUAUUAGAAGUUCAAAACUUUGACACAGUUAAUCAGUCAUCAGCUUCCAAUAAGGUUAGUCAAGCAACUUUCCUUGGGAGAGAUGACCCAAAACUAACUGCCUUGUUGCAACAAGCUGAAUUGCUGACUACCCUUUCCAAGAAGGUUAAUGCAGAAAAUACCAACCAAAGUCUUGAUGAGGCUUGGAAGGAGCUUCAAGAGUACUUGAUUCAAACUGAAGACAGUGGGCUACUAAGAAAAAGAAUUGCUAAUUUUGUAAUCAGGUUGUUGAAGUACCAAAUGUCAGUUGGGAUGAUAUUGGUGGGCUGGAAAAUGUCAAGAGGGAA
Zingiber officinale is the source of this 417-nucleotide long non-coding RNA. RefSeq lists it as uncharacterized. NCBI's taxonomy places the organism in Eukaryota, Viridiplantae, Streptophyta, Magnoliopsida, Zingiberales, Zingiberaceae. The transcript is spliced from 4 exons. The record is from RefSeq and is a predicted model, not a curated record.